Molecule: unclassified non-coding RNA, 200 nt
Filed under: Monodictys sp.
Lineage: Eukaryota; Fungi; Ascomycota; Dothideomycetes; Pleosporales
Description: partial internal transcribed spacer 2
Source: RNAcentral
UUAAGUUCAGCGGGUAUCCCUACCUGAUCCGAGGUCAAACCAAAAGAGCCUUGCUGGACGCUACCCGGCCGAGCCCGCCACAGCGCUGAUUCUGCUGCGCUGGGAGCUAGCCGGAGAGCCGCCAAUAAUUUUAAGGCGAGUCCGCAUAUAAUAGCAAGACAGACGCCCAACACCAAGCAGUGCUUGAGGGUGUAAAUGAC